UACGUAGGGGGCUAGCGUUGUCCGGAAUCAUUGGGCGUAAAGCGCGUGUAGGCGGUCCGGUAAGUCCGCUGUGAAAGUCGGGGGCUCAACCCUCGAAUGCCGGUGGAUACUGUCGGGCUAGAGUACGGAAGAGGCGAGUGGAAUUCCUGGUGUAGCGGUGAAAUGCGCAGAUAUCAGGAGGAACACCAAUUGCGAAGGCAGCUCUCUGGACCGUUACUGACGCUGAGGCGCGAAAGCGUGGGGAGCAAACAGG
This 253-nucleotide ribosomal RNA is filed under the name uncultured bacterium. RNAcentral describes it as "partial 16S ribosomal RNA". It matches the Rfam family "Bacterial small subunit ribosomal RNA", at positions 524 to 776 of the family's 1533-position model. The record is from RNAcentral.